GAGAAGGCCAGAAGGCCAGAAGAUGGGGAGGACUCAAGGAGAAAGUGUGGACUAGGGAGAUAGGGAGGAUGCAAUGAGGAGGCGGCGAGGCAGCAGGAAGGCGACAAGGGCCGAGGAGGAGGACCAGACAACAUGAGGGUUGAGGAGGAGGUGGGGACACUAGGAAGGAGGCGAGAUGGGGAGACUAUGACAACACAAGGAGGUGAUGGUCGAUGGGGGGGACCGGACCAUGCGAGCAGGCAAUAAGGAGCAGUGGUGACAAUGUGAGGGCGGAUG
This 276-nucleotide long non-coding RNA is filed under the name Elaeis guineensis (African oil palm). RNAcentral describes it as "long non-coding RNA (EGUI_LNC003131)". The record is from RNAcentral. Lineage: Eukaryota; Viridiplantae; Streptophyta; Magnoliopsida; Arecales; Arecaceae.